This 331-nucleotide long non-coding RNA is filed under the name Homo sapiens (human). Its description in RNAcentral is "non-protein coding lnc-TNNT2-3:2". The record is from RNAcentral. Lineage: Eukaryota; Metazoa; Chordata; Mammalia; Primates; Hominidae.
UCAGAAUCUGUCAAGUCUCGGGGUCUGCCUUGCACUGAGUUAUUCGUGGCUCCUGUGGGUGUAGCCAGCAAGCGCCACCUCUUUGAGAAGGAACUGGCGGGCCAGAGCCGAGCAGAACCAGCCUCCAGCCGGAAGGGCCUCUGAACAUGCCUCGCUGCUGCCAAGGGCCCUAAACCCUGAGAUGGAAAGUUCUCUUUUUAGGAGAACUUGAGGCUCUCAGGGGUUGUGACAUCAAGGCUCAACCUGUGGAUCAGCAGGACCCAGGAAUCUGGAGAUCAGGACCCCCAGGAGGCACAGAAAGCAUCAUCUGCAACCGAGAGGACUCAGUGGG